AUACGUAGGUGGCAAGCGUUAUCCGGAUUUACUGGGUGUAAAGGGCGUGUAGGCGGGACUGCAAGUCAGAUGUGAAAACUAUGGGCUCAACCCAUAGCCUGCAUUUGAAACUGUAGUUCUUGAGGGUCGGAGAGGCAAUUGGAAUUCCGUGUGGAGCGGUGAAAUGCGUAGAUAUACGGAGGAACACCAGUGGCGAAGGCGGAUUGCUGGACGAUAACUGACGCUGAGGCGCGAAAGCGUGGGGAGCGAACAGGAUUAGAUACCCUGGUAGUCCACGCCGUAAACGAUGGAUACUAGGUGUGGGGGGUCUGACCCCCUCCGUGCCGCAGCUAACGCAAUAAGUAUCCCACCUGGGGAGUACGAUCGCAAGGUUGAAACUCAAAGGAAUUGACGGGG
Molecule: ribosomal RNA, 396 nt
Filed under: uncultured bacterium
Lineage: Bacteria
Description: partial 16S ribosomal RNA
Rfam family: Bacterial small subunit ribosomal RNA
Source: RNAcentral